This 72-nucleotide transfer RNA is filed under the name bacterium. RNAcentral's name for it is "tRNA-Met". It matches the Rfam family "tRNA". From Rfam's summary of the family: Transfer RNA (tRNA) molecules are approximately 80 nucleotides in length. The record is from RNAcentral.
CGCGGGGUAGAGCAGCGGUAGCUCGCGAGGCCCAUAACCUCGAGGUCACGGGUUCGAAUCCCGUCCCCGCAA